GUCGUCAGCUCGUGUCGUGAGAUGUUGGGUUAAGUCCCGCAACGAGCGCAACCCUUGUCACUAGUUGCCAUCAUUUAGUUGGGCACUCUAGUGGAGACUCGGCCGGGUGAACAAACCGGGAGGAAGGUGGGGAUGACGUCAAAUCAUCAUGCCCCUUAUGACCUGGGCUACACACGUGCUACAAUGGGCGGUACAAAGGGCUGCGAACCCGCGAGGGGGAGCGAAUCCCAAAAAGCCGCUCUCAGUUCGGAUUGCAGGCUGCAACUCGCCUGCAUGAAGCCGGAAUCGCUAGUAACCGCAGGUCAGCUAUACUGCGAUGAAUACGUUCCCGGGGCUU
Molecule: ribosomal RNA, 337 nt
Filed under: uncultured Geobacillus sp.
Lineage: Bacteria; Bacillati; Bacillota; Bacilli; Caryophanales; Anoxybacillaceae
Description: bacterial SSU rRNA
Rfam family: Bacterial small subunit ribosomal RNA
Source: RNAcentral